Long non-coding RNA from Antechinus flavipes (yellow-footed antechinus), 3818 nucleotides. RefSeq lists it as uncharacterized. NCBI's taxonomy places the organism in Eukaryota, Metazoa, Chordata, Mammalia, Dasyuromorphia, Dasyuridae. The transcript has 2 exons. The record is from RefSeq and is a predicted model, not a curated record.
UUUUUCCUCCCCAGCUCCGCCCCCGAGAUGUGGCUGCUCCUGGAAGAGGAUCCCUGCGGGGUCGGGGAGCCCCAGGGGAACGAGCCUCCAGCCGGACCCCAGCGCCCCUCGCUCUGCGUGGGGCGUCUCCGUGCCUGGAGGGCCCGCCCUCUGCAUCUCAGCCUCUGGGGAGCCCCACUCUGCUCCCGAAGUGACGGGGGACGGCCCUGGGUGAACCCCGUCAUCCCCCGUGAACUUCCAUGACGUGGCCGUGACCUUCAGCUCGGGGGAGUGGGGGCGCCUCCCAGAAGGAGCUGUCCCCGGAGGUGAUGCUGGAGAACUAGGGGCACCUGGCCAGCCUGAGUGAGGAGGGGGCGGGACCCCUUCCCUCCUCCCUGUAUUCUCUGGUGAAACUCCUGCCUGCCUGGGGGAGGAGGGGGCGGCGGCCCCCGGGGCUGCCGUGGGAGGAGGGAGCCCGCGGGGGGAGGAGGGGGCCAGGAUCUGCUCUCCUACCGCCCGGGGAGCCGCUUCGGACCCCAGGUCACGUGUCCCCGCUGCAGGCCCCCUUACAGGCCACUUUGGAGUCUCUCCUGGCCUGAUAAUUGCACGUGGUCCCUCCCUGGGACUGCAUUGGUGCUUUUGUAUCCCGGCUGUGGCACACAGUAGGCGCUUAAUAGAUGCUUGAGGCUUCAUUGAUUAAAGUCAAUACUACACGGAUGAGGCUCCAAUAUCUUUUAACAUUGUUGGGUUUUUUUGGUGACUGUGGCCCUGGGGAGCUCGGCUCUCCUGAUGCUGCGUCAGUCACAAAGGUCGUUACAAACGUCUCUGAAUUGUUGUUGCCAUCGCGUCUAACUGUACACGAACAGUUUACUCCGUCAUUACCCCAUUGAGGGGCACCCACUUUGCUUCCCUCCCUUUGGUAUCAAAGAAAUUACUGCUAGAAAUGUUUUCCAUACAUAGAACUUCCCUUUUUCUUGCAAUGGGGGGGUCUGCUCGGGCUUGGGGGCUAUGGGCCCCCUUGGUGACCAGAGGCCCCUGGUCCUUGUCCCUGAGGCUGCCCCUCCCCUACUCCAUGUUCCCUCUGCACAGGGUGGGCUCCUCUGCUUGCCACCAGGCCUCCUUCUGGGGCUGGCCUGCUGGGGUGGGAGGCCAGCCUGGAGCUCAGAGAGGCUUCUCUGGCCACAAUCAUUUUCCGUCUUCAAUGAGUAGGACUUGUGAUUUCCAAGCCAGAUGUGAUCUGCCAGUUGGAGAGAGGGGAAGGUCCCUGGAAACCAGAGGGAGAUGCCCCCCAGAGCAGCCGUGCAGAGCCCUUGGAAAUGAUCCAGAUGGAGAGCUGGAAACAGGCCCUGGAAGAGAAGUGAUUUGCCCAAGGUCGUAUAAAUAAUAUAAUAUCGGCAUAUAAGUAACAAGCAUCAGAAGAGGGAUGUGAAGCCUUUGAUUCCAGAACCAGAAUCGGGGGGGAGGGAGAAGGAAGGGGGUAUCUUGACUGUAGGAAGCACAGACUCUUUGUCAGGAUUAUCUCCAGCUCCAGUUUACACUGCAGCAUAUAUGCUGUUCAGGACAGGCUGAAAAAACUUGAAAUUCAUCUCUAAACUGAGUUAGGCAAAACAAGAAAUGAACAAUUUAAGACUCUUGAGUUCAUUGGAAAUUUUCAGUAAUUAACAUUCUAGAAAUUAUACUUAAUAAAAACGAAAGAGAAAACCCUGAUAAUGGAACAAGACAAAUAUAGCACCGAGCACAGCACUCAACUCAUUCGAAAAGGAGAAUGACAUUUGGUGCCCAAUGUGGGGCUGAAGCUGCCUCAGAUUCACCACACCCUUGAGCCUCCCUUAAGUCUCCAUGCCCUGUGGGAAUAUGAUCAUUAAUCUGUUCAUUGUCUUCCUCCUUUAUCUCAGGCUUCCUCAUUUGGCUAUUCCUAGGGUUUUUUUCCUUUCUUCUGUAACUUACAUGGUUUCUUAAGGCCAACUGUAUUAUAUUGUAUAAAUAGAAUGCCUCGAUGGAAAUUGAAUGAGGACCAUUUUCGUUGUAAUAUGCAGAGAGUUUUUACCCAAUUAAUGUCCAAUUAUCUGGAGAGAUUUGCUCUUCCUCUAAGAACCAAGGGGAGGUGCGUUUUAAUGUGCCCAGAAGUCUAGCUGCCUGUUCCCAAGUUAUAAGUAGCCCUUGAUCUUCUAUCAGCUUAAUCGUGCUUUCUAUAGUGCCACUCCUGGGUGGAGGUGAAGAAUCUUUAGCUAGGAUUUAUCCCAUUUCAACCAAAAAAGGUUAGUAGUUUAGUCUUUAAGAAAAUAAGUUCCCUAUUUGUCUAUUAUACUCACCUAAGUUCCUGGUCACUGGAGACUUCUUUAGUGAAAGUAAGGUCCUUGGUUCCCACACUUGGGCGCCAAAUCUAACCCUUUAUAUUAUUAACUUCUUGAUUUUUGACAAAGAUGCACUGGCUCUGGCAGACAGGUUUUAUAACCCACCAGAAGGGCAGUGUCCAGUGCGAGCCUCUCCAUUAUCUUUAGAUAAUCACCAGGUGAUGUGGAGAGACCCAGAAAGUGGUGAAUGGAAGGGACCGGAUAGGUUAACUGCUUGGGGAAGAGGGUUUGCUUGUAUCUCCACAGAGGGAGAAGGAAUCAGAUGGCUGCCAACGAGCCGUAUUCGCCUUGUCCAUUGGAGAGAGAUGGAGCAGACCCUUGAAACUAAGGAGAAGACCCAAGAAAUAUUGAGUGGUUCUGUUGCUGAUUGUGCCCACCACUGAAUGAGCAUGGCAAUUAUGGCGUUUGACUCAUGGACAUAGAAAAUUGUUGGACUUCAAAACCCUCAGGAAUCAUUGGAUUCUCUGAGACAUAAGACUUGAAAGCCCUCAGAAAUCACUGGAUUUUCUGAGAAAUGAUAGGACUGUUACAGGACUUCAAAAUCUGCUGGAAUCAUUGGGCUCCCUAACACAUAAAAAGACUUUUGCAGGACUUCAAAAACUUGGAUUCCCUGAUAUGUGAAGCAAUGGACAAUAGAUUGAUUUUGGACUAUCUCUUGGCAGCUGAAGAAGGUGUAUGUGUGACUGCUGUUUACAUACCCUCCUUCUAGGACUUUUGGCAAUCUUUUACAAUACCAUGUUGAUUUAUAUUGUUUGUUAUACGGUUACUUGCAUGUACAAUUCAUGUUUGUUACACCACAUCAAGCCUGCACUGACUGUGGGGAGAGUCAUCACUAAUAGCCUCUGCUUGUUGCUAUGUGCUUGUGUAAUACUUCCCAUGCUGAUGGGUUUGUGCAUAAUAAGACCCUUCAGCCCAGAAAACCGCUAGCAAACCCCACUUCCCUUUGGUGCUUUUCAUCUCCCUUCCUGAGAAGUCAGGGAGGGCGUGAUCAUCUCCUUUUUAGUGCUUUCACCUUCUUUCCUGAGAAGUCAGGGAGGGUGUGAUCACCUCCCCUUGGGGGCUCUGACCUCCCUGAGGAGUCAGGGAUGGCAUGAUCACCUGUGUUCUAAAACAAAAGAAAGUGGGAGAUGUAAUGGGCUGAGGCUUGAGUUGAUGCACUGAGGUCCCAAGCAUGUGAGGCUAAAUAGUAAUUGGACCAUACUCUGUUAAUAUAUAAGCUUGGAGAAAGAAUGGCCCCCGCCCACUCUUUGUGCAAGUCCUGAUGAGUUGUAUAGGAAAUAAUGAUUUUGGUGGGUGGAGGCAGGGGGGUAGAAAGGGAAAUGGAAAGAGAGACUGCUGGCUGGUUUCUUGACACAGCUACUCGCACUACUAUUAUGACUGCCCUUCACCUCCGAUUCCCCUUCACCUCUGCUGGCUCGCUUUGCUAUCGCAAUCCCCCUUCAACUCAAAAAGAAUAAAGAUUGAAGAUUUUUCUCUUAACCUGAA